Molecule: ribosomal RNA, 483 nt
Filed under: uncultured bacterium
Lineage: Bacteria
Description: partial 16S ribosomal RNA
Rfam family: Bacterial small subunit ribosomal RNA
Source: RNAcentral
AUUGAACGCUGGCGGCAGGCCUAACACAUGCAAGUCGAGCGGAUGAAGGGAGCUUGCUCCUGGAUUCAGCGGCGGACGGGUGAGUAAUGCCUAGGAAUCUGCCUGGUAGUGGGGGAUAACGUCCGGAAACGGACGCUAAUACCGCAUACGUCCUGAGGGAGAAAGUGGGGGAUCUUCGGACCUCACGCUAUCAGAUGAGCCUAGGUCGGAUUAGCUAGUUGGUGGGGUAAAGGCCUACCAAGGCGACGAUCCGUAACUGGUCUGAGAGGAUGAUCAGUCACACUGGAACUGAGACACGGUCCAGACUCCUACGGGAGGCAGCAGUGGGGAAUAUUGGACAAUGGGCGAAAGCCUGAUCCAGCCAUGCCGCGUGUGUGAAGAAGGUCUUCGGAUUGUAAAGCACUUUAAGUUGGGAGGAAGGGCAGUAAGUUAAUACCUUGCUGUUUUGACGUUACCAACAGAAUAAGCACCGGCUAACUUCGU